UACGUAGGGUGCGAGCGUUGUCCGGAAUUAUUGGGCGUAAAGAGCUCGUAGGCGGCUUGUCACGUCGGUUGUGAAAGCCCGGGGCUUAACCCCGGGUCUGCAGUCGAUACGGGCAGGCUAGAGUUCGGUAGGGGAGAUCGGAAUUCCUGGUGUAGCGGUGAAAUGCGCAGAUAUCAGGAGGAACACCGGUGGCGAAGGCGGAUCUCUGGGCCGAUACUGACGCUGAGGAGCGAAAGCGUGGGGAGCGAACAGU
This 253-nucleotide ribosomal RNA is filed under the name uncultured bacterium. RNAcentral's name for it is "partial 16S ribosomal RNA". It matches the Rfam family "Bacterial small subunit ribosomal RNA", at positions 524 to 776 of the family's 1533-position model. The record is from RNAcentral.